Molecule: ribosomal RNA, 671 nt
Filed under: uncultured Paracoccaceae bacterium
Lineage: Bacteria; Pseudomonadati; Pseudomonadota; Alphaproteobacteria; Rhodobacterales; Paracoccaceae
Description: bacterial SSU rRNA
Rfam family: Bacterial small subunit ribosomal RNA
Source: RNAcentral
GGGAUGAGCGGCGGACGGGUGAGUAACGCGUGGGAAUAUGCCCUUCUCUAAGGAAUAGCCUCGGGAAACUGAGAGUAAUACCUUAUACGCCCUUCGGGGGAAAGAUUUAUCGGAGAAGGAUUAGCCCGCGUUAGAUUAGGUAGUUGGUGGGGUAAUGGCCUACCAAGCCUACGAUCUAUAGCUGGUUUGAGAGGAUGAUCAGCCACACUGGGACUGAGACACGGCCCAGACUCCUACGGGAGGCAGCAGUAGGGAAUCUUAGACAAUGGGGGAAACCCUGAUCUAGCCAUGCCGCGUGUGUGAUGAAGGCCUUAGGGUCGUAAAGCACUUUCGCCAGAGAUGAUAAUGACAGUAUCUGGUAAAGAAACCCCGGCUAACUCCGUGCCAGCAGCCGCGGUAAUACGGAGGGGGUUAGCGUUGUUCGGAAUUACUGGGCGUAAAGCGCACGUAGGCGGAUUAGUAAGUUAGAGGUGAAAUCCCAGGGCUCAACCCUGGAACUGCCUUUAAUACUGCUAGUCUUGAGUUCGAGAGAGGUAAGUGGAAUUCCAAGUGUAGAGGUGAAAUUCGUAGAUAUUUGGAGGAACACCAGUGGCGAAGGCGGCUUACUGGCUCGAUACUGACGCUGAGGUGCGAAAGUGUGGGGAGCAAACAGGAUUAGAUACCCUGGUAGU